Molecule: ribosomal RNA, 306 nt
Filed under: Gephyromantis ceratophrys
Lineage: Eukaryota; Metazoa; Chordata; Amphibia; Anura; Mantellidae
Description: partial 16S ribosomal RNA
Rfam family: Bacterial large subunit ribosomal RNA
Source: RNAcentral
CUAAUCUUCCCGUGAAGAGGCGGGGAUAAACCCAUAAGACGAGAAGACCCCAUGGAGCUUUAAACUAAGCUACAAUCCAACUCCCGUAUAUCCGCUCAUCAAAUAGGAUUCUGUAUGCCCAGUUUUAGGUUGGGGUGACCACGGAUAUAAACUAACCUCCAUGAUAAACGAAACUUUUCUUAUCUAAGAAUUACAAUUCCAAGAAUUAGUAUACUAAUAUUAAAUGAUCCGAUAAUCGAUCAACGGACCAAGUUACCCUGGGGAUAACAGCGCAAUCCAUUUCAAGAGCCCUUAUCGACAAAUGGG